GUGGGGAAUAUUGGACAAUGGGGGGAACCCUGAUCCAGCCAUGCCGCGUGUGUGAAGAAGGCCUUUUGGUUGUAAAGCACUUUAAGCGAGGAGGAGGCUACCGAGAUUAAUACUCUUGGAUAGUGGACGUUACUCGCAGAAUAAGCACCGGCUAACUCUGUGCCAGCAGCCGCGGUAAUACAGAGGGUGCAAGCGUUAAUCGGAUUUACUGGGCGUAAAGCGCGCGUAGGUGGCCAAUUAAGUCAAAUGUGAAAUCCCCGAGCUUAACUUGGGAAUUGCAGUCGACACUGGUUGGCUAGAGUAUGGGAGAGGAUGGUAGAAUUCCAGGUGUAGCGGUGAAAUGCGUAGAGAUCUGGAGGAAUACCGAUGGCGAAGGCAGCCAUCUGGCCUAAUACUGACACUGAGGUGCGAAAGCAUGGGGAGCAAACAGGAUUAGAAACCCCGGUAGUCC
RNAcentral lists this ribosomal RNA (451 nucleotides) under uncultured bacterium. Its description in RNAcentral is "partial 16S ribosomal RNA". It matches the Rfam family "Bacterial small subunit ribosomal RNA", at positions 354 to 796 of the family's 1533-position model. The record is from RNAcentral.